Molecule: small RNA, 563 nt
Filed under: Caulobacter vibrioides NA1000
Lineage: Bacteria; Pseudomonadati; Pseudomonadota; Alphaproteobacteria; Caulobacterales; Caulobacteraceae
Description: small non-coding RNA
Source: RNAcentral
ACUGGGCCUUGAAGUCGGGGCUCGUCGACGCUUGGAUCGAGGCCUGAUCGCCGUAAGACGAGGCCCCGAAGUAGUCCGCCUGAACUGUCGCGACCCAUGGGCCUACCGGUCGUGCGGCCCAGUUAUUGACGCCAGCCGCCACACGCCAAGGAUCGCGUGCGGCCUCGACCACGAGAUCCAUGCCCCCCGGCUUGGUCCCCCGCCGCAACGCCCCGGCGACCGCCAAACCGGGAGUGGCGCGCGCUGUCGCAUAGGCGCGCUCCACCGCUACCGCGGGUAGUGGUCGCAUGCCCACGAGCGGCUGGAAGAUCCGGGUGGCUUGUCGCCGCGCUGAGGCGUCUUGCCCCAGCACGGUCAGGUCGCUGAUCUGACCCUCGAUGACGUCCAGACGAACAACGCCAUCGACGACGGUUUGGGCCGGCGGAACAACGACGACGAAAGGAUAGCCGCGUCCGGCGUAGAUGGCCUCGGCGUUGCGGGCGAUCGUCUUAAGAUCGGCCAAGGCGACGGGCUUGCCGACAAAGUUCUGCCAAGCGGGCUGCAGGUCGUGGGGCGGAACAACC